GGAGAGGUGGCAGAGUGGUCGAAUGCGGCGGCUUGCUAAGCCGUUAGACGGGGUAAACCUGUCUCCAGGGUUCGAAUCCCUGCCUCUCCGCCA
Molecule: transfer RNA, 93 nt
Filed under: Myxococcales bacterium
Lineage: Bacteria; Pseudomonadati; Myxococcota; Myxococcia; Myxococcales
Also listed under: 3 other names
Description: tRNA-Ser
Rfam family: tRNA
About the family: Transfer RNA (tRNA) molecules are approximately 80 nucleotides in length. Their secondary structure includes four short double-helical elements and three loops (D, anti-codon, and T loops).
Source: RNAcentral